GCCAGUGUGGAGUAGUGGUUUGAGUGUUAGUCUACGACUCUGGAGACCAGGGUUCAGUUCCCGCUCUGCCA
Phrynosoma platyrhinos (Desert horned lizard) is the source of this 71-nucleotide non-coding RNA. Lineage: Eukaryota; Metazoa; Chordata; Lepidosauria; Squamata; Phrynosomatidae. The record is from the annotation of a GenBank genome assembly.